GAUGAACGCUGGCGGCGUGCCUAAUACAUGCAAGUCGAGCGGAAGGACGCUGCGCUUGCUUCUUUCACGUUAGCGGCGGACGUGUGUAUAACACGUGGAUACCCUCCUUAUCAUUCUGGGAUCACUUCGGGACACCGGCGCUAAUACCGGAUAAUAUUCUGAUCCGCGUGGUUCGAUGGUGAAUGACGGUGUUGCUGUCACUUCUAGAGGGUUCUCCGCUGCAUUGGCUGGUUGGUAAGGUCACGGCUUACCACGGCAACGAUGCAUAGCCGACGUGAGAGGCGGAUCGGCCACACUGGAGCGUGGACGCGGUCCAUACUCCUACGGGAGGCAGCAGUAGGGUACGGUCCGCAAUAGGCGAAAGCCUUACGGAGUAACGCCGCGCGAGUUAUGAAGGUCUUCGGAGCGGAAAACUCUGUUAUUAGGGAAGAACAGAUGUGUAAGUAACUGUGCACUGCUUGACGGUACUUAAUCAGAAAGCAACGGCUAACUACGUG
This 497-nucleotide ribosomal RNA is filed under the name uncultured bacterium. Its description in RNAcentral is "partial 16S ribosomal RNA". It matches the Rfam family "Bacterial small subunit ribosomal RNA", at positions 28 to 507 of the family's 1533-position model. The record is from RNAcentral.